UGGGGAAUAUUGCACAAUGGGCGCAAGCCUGAUGCAGCGACGCCGCGUGAGGGAUGAAGGCCUUCGGGUUGUAAACCUCUUUCGUCAGGGAACAAGGCACUGCUUUUUUGGUGGUGUUGAGGGUACCUGGAUAAGAAGCGCCGGCUAACUACGUGCCAGCAGCCGCGGUAAUACGUAGGGCGCAAGCGUUGUCCGGAAUUAUUGGGCGUAAAGAGCUCGUAGGCGGCUGGUCGCGUCUGUCGUGAAAACUUCCGGCUCAACCGGGGGCUUGCGGUGGGUACGGGCCGGCUAGAGUGCGGUAGGGGUAACUGGAACUCCUGGUGUAGCGGUGGAAUGCGCAGAUAUCAGGAAGAACACCGAUGGCGAAGGCAGGUUACUGGGCCGUUACUGACGCUGAGGAGCGAAAGCGUGGGGAGCGAACAGGAUUAGAUACCCUGGUAGUCCACGCCGUAAACGUUGGGCACUAGGUGUGAGGCUCCUUUCCGGGGGUUUUGCGCCGUAGCUAACGCAUUAAGUGCCCCGCCUGGGGAGUACGGCCGCAAGGCUA
Molecule: ribosomal RNA, 547 nt
Filed under: uncultured bacterium
Lineage: Bacteria
Description: bacterial SSU rRNA
Rfam family: Bacterial small subunit ribosomal RNA
Source: RNAcentral